UUUUUGGUGGCAGAUAUUAGUGCCUGUCAUUGUAAAUGACAAUAAGAAUUUAUUUCCCGAUA
Molecule: transfer RNA, 62 nt
Filed under: Physella acuta
Lineage: Eukaryota; Metazoa; Mollusca; Gastropoda; Physidae
Description: tRNA-Tyr
Source: RNAcentral